ACAUAUUGCUCGUAAAGAGGGUCACAA
This 27-nucleotide small RNA is filed under the name Bombyx mori (domestic silkworm). Its description in RNAcentral is "ovarian small RNA-11140". Lineage: Eukaryota; Metazoa; Arthropoda; Insecta; Lepidoptera; Bombycidae. The record is from RNAcentral.